GAGUUUGACAUGGCUCAGGAUGAACGCUAGCGGCAGGCUUAAUACAUGCAAGUCGAGGGGCAACAGGGGUAGCAAUACCUGCUGGCGACCGGCAAACGGGUGCGGAACACGUACAGAACCUUCCUUUAAGUGGGGGAUAGCCCAGAGAAAUUUGGAUUAAUACCCCGUAAGAUUAUGGAGUGGCAUCAUUUUAUAAUUAUAGAUUAAUCGCUUAAAGAUGGCUGUGCGGCUGAUUAGGUAGUUGGCGGGGUAACGGCCCACCAAGCCUUCGAUCAGUAACUGGUGUGAGAGCACGACCAGUCACACGGGCACUGAGACACGGGGCCCGACUCCUACGGGAGGCAGCAGUAAGGAAUAUUGGUCAAUGGACGCAAGUCUGAACCAGCCAUGCCGCGUGAAGGAUGAAGGUCCUCUGGAUUGUAAACUUCUUUUAUGUGGAAGAACCCUUGAAUUCUUUUAAGGUUGACGGUACCAUAGGAUAAGCACGGCUAACUCCGUGCCAGCAGCCGCGGU
This 513-nucleotide ribosomal RNA is filed under the name uncultured bacterium. Its description in RNAcentral is "bacterial SSU rRNA". It matches the Rfam family "Bacterial small subunit ribosomal RNA", at positions 9 to 521 of the family's 1533-position model. The record is from RNAcentral.